This 292-nucleotide ribosomal RNA is filed under the name uncultured bacterium. RNAcentral's name for it is "partial 16S ribosomal RNA". The record is from RNAcentral.
GGACUACUAGGGUUUCUAAUCCUGUUUGCUCCCCACGCUUUCGCGCCUCAGCGUCAGUAUCUGUCCAGGUAGCCGCCUUCGCCACUGGUGUUCCUUCCGAUCUCUACGCAUUUCACCGCUACACCGGAAAUUCCACUACCCUCUACAGUACUCCAGUUUACCAGUAUAAGUUGCACGUCCUAGGUUAAGCCCAGGGAUUUCACAACUCACUUAAUAAACCGCCUACGCGCCCUUUACGCCCAGUAACUCCGAUUAACGCUUGCACCCUCUGUAUUACCGCGGCUGCUGGCAC